Long non-coding RNA from Alnus glutinosa, 771 nucleotides. RefSeq lists it as uncharacterized. The record is from RefSeq and is a predicted model, not a curated record. The transcript is spliced from 2 exons. NCBI's taxonomy places the organism in Eukaryota, Viridiplantae, Streptophyta, Magnoliopsida, Fagales, Betulaceae.
UUCCCCUCCCUUGGGGUAAAAAAUAAAAUAAGAAAACACUUCAACACAUUGAUCAAGCAAGUAAUUGACCUCCAUGACGAUGAAUUCCAUAUCUGUUCUGAGAAAGAUUGUGAACCUUGUUCUGGUUGAAAUGUGAGAACAUCGUGCUUUCAACCAUCCCUAAUAUGCGCUAUCACGUCAAAUGAUGGAUGAUAAUUUUUUACAGCCAAGUAAUUUUUCAGCACAGAAUACUUGAAAAAGUUUACAACAGUUAACUCUGAUUUAGCCAUGUUGUAAGAUUUUUCAUGUUUCCAUCUCUUAAUCUUUAGUUUCUAAGUAGUCAAACAGGACAUUUACUUAUUAUUUGUUCUUCUAAUGGGGAUCAAUGCCUGCAUUGUAACAGGAAGCUGGCCUCAUGGUGCGUGCUGCAAAGAGGUCAAUGGUGGAUGAGUUGGAAGCAAUGCUUGAUGUUGUGGACCCCCAUCCUCCAGGGAAAUCACUUUCCACGAGGAGGAGGACUUUUGAUAUGCCUGAUAGUCGCAUUCAGAAGGAAAUUGCAGCAGGUGUGACACAGGUUGUCGAAAUGCUUAGUCAGGAAGAGCACUCAGAGUGCUGAAUGGAUAUAAAUUUCCUACAAACUGGCCGGGGUGAAGGAAUUUUGCCUAAAUAACGGAAGAAAGCUUUGGGUUUGGAGAUGGCUGAUCACUGUGCUUUGAUUUGUGUCUGUAAUGUUUACAACUGGGCAGUGUUAAUUAUUAAUUUUAUCUACCUAGAAAAGCUUCAUUCCAUCCA